Molecule: ribosomal RNA, 238 nt
Filed under: uncultured bacterium
Lineage: Bacteria
Description: partial 16S ribosomal RNA
Rfam family: Bacterial small subunit ribosomal RNA
Source: RNAcentral
CAACGUAAACAACCUGCCUUAAGGAUGGGGAUAACAGACGGAAACGACUGCUAAUACCGAAUACGUUCUAAGCGUCGCAUGGUGCAUAGAAGAAAGGGUGGCCUCUACAAGAAAGCUAUCGCCUUAAGAGGGGUUUGCGACUGAUUAGGUAGUUGGUGAGGUAACGGCUCACCAAGCCGACGAUCAGUAGCCGGUCUGAGAGGAUGAACGGCCACACUGGAACUGAGACACGGUCCAG